GCGAGGGUAGCCAAGCCAGGUCAAAGGCGCUGCAUUUAGGGUGCAGUCCCGCAGGGGUUCGUGGGUUCAAGUCCCUCUCCUCGCA
RNAcentral lists this transfer RNA (85 nucleotides) under Methanomicrobiales archaeon. RNAcentral's name for it is "tRNA-Leu". It matches the Rfam family "tRNA". From Rfam's summary of the family: Transfer RNA (tRNA) molecules are approximately 80 nucleotides in length. The record is from RNAcentral. Lineage: Archaea; Methanobacteriati; Methanobacteriota; Methanomicrobia; Methanomicrobiales.